This 429-nucleotide ribosomal RNA is filed under the name Chloroflexota bacterium. Its description in RNAcentral is "Chloroflexi bacterium partial 16S ribosomal RNA". It matches the Rfam family "Bacterial small subunit ribosomal RNA", at positions 355 to 776 of the family's 1533-position model. Lineage: Bacteria; Bacillati; Chloroflexota. The record is from RNAcentral.
UGGGGAAUAUUGCACAAUGGGCGCAAGCCUGAUGCAGCCAUGCCGCGUGUGUGAAGAAGGCCUUCGGGUUGUAAAGCACUUUCAGCGGGGAGGAAGGCGUUAAGGUUAAUAACCUUGGCGAUUGACGUUACCCGCAGAAGAAGCACCGGCUAACUCCGUGCCAGCAGCCGCGGUAAUACGGAGGGUGCAAGCGUUAAUCGGAAUUACUGGGCGUAAAGCGCACGCAGGCGGUCUGUCAAGUCGGAUGUGAAAUCCCCGGGCUCAACCUGGGAACUGCAUUCGAAACUGGCAGGCUAGAGUCUUGUAGAGGGGGGUAGAAUUCCAGGUGUAGCGGUGAAAUGCGUAGAGAUCUGGAGGAAUACCGGUGGCGAAGGCGGCCCCCUGGUCAAAGACUGACGCUCAGGUGCGAAAGCGUGGGGAGCAAACAGG